CACGCUGUAAACGUUGCGAACUAGGUGUCGGGGGUAUUCACCCCUCCGGUGCCGAAGCUAACGUCUUAAGUUCGUCGCCUGGGAAGUACGGCCGCAAGGCUAAAACUCAAAGGAAUUGACGGGGGCCCGGCACAAGCGGUGGAGCAUGUGGUUCAAUUCGAUGCAACGCGAAGAACCUUACCUGGGCUUGACAUCCCGAGAAUCUCUCAGAAAUGAGGGAGUGCCCGUAAGGGAACUCGGAGACAGGUGCUGCAUGGCUGUCGUCAGCUCGUGUCGUGAGAUGUUGGGUUAAGUCCCGCAACGAGCGCAACCCUUGCCCUUAGUUGCCAGCGGUUCGGCCGGGCACCCUAGGGGGACCGCCGAUGUCAAAUCG
RNAcentral lists this ribosomal RNA (373 nucleotides) under uncultured bacterium. RNAcentral describes it as "bacterial SSU rRNA". It matches the Rfam family "Bacterial small subunit ribosomal RNA", at positions 796 to 1165 of the family's 1533-position model. The record is from RNAcentral.